GAUCAUGGUCAGGACGAACGCUGGCGGCGUGCUUAACACAUGCAAGUCGAACGAAGAGCGAUGGAAGCUUGCUUCUAUCAAUCUUAGUGGCGAACGGGUGAGUAACGCGUAAUCAACCUGCCCUUCAGAGGGGGACGAACAGUUGGAAACGACUGCUAAUACCGCAUACGAUCCAAUCUCGGCAUCGAGACUGGAUGAAAGGUGGCCUCUAUUUAUAAGCUAUCACUGAAGGAGGGG
Molecule: ribosomal RNA, 237 nt
Filed under: uncultured bacterium
Lineage: Bacteria
Description: partial 16S ribosomal RNA
Rfam family: Bacterial small subunit ribosomal RNA
Source: RNAcentral